UCGGACUUGGUGAAGGUGGACACCACAGACAUAAUAAGAAAAGAACACAGAAGAGAAGAAUAUCCGGUCAGCUCCCUGCAGAAGUUAAAUGUGAAAAGAGCUAAAGAGGUGUGCCUGGCAAGUACAAGCAGGAGAGGACAGACGCAGAUACUGCCGGAAAAAUCCUCAAAGUUUAUUGUUAUUAUUGUUAGCAAGAUAACACAACUGUAGAUUUCUCUUCUCUGCAACCAUGGAGGGGGUAAUCAUUACAGUGACACAGAGCAUCCUGGUAUCGUUGCCUCACUCAGAUUGCUUAGAGGCCACAAAAACCUCAAAGGACCAGCCGGACCCUGACAAGCUCAAUGUGCUCAUAGAUGCUGUGUGAUAAACCAGUUUCCAAAUCCCAUAGUGUCUGCAGUUGCAGAAAAUGCAACGAGUCCUACUCAAAGAUAACCGACCCUCCACUCCAAGGAUAAGGAUUGUGACAUUUUUCAGUAUCAGUUUGGAUCCACCAUUUGUACUGUAUGCUUCCUUCACUACAGUUGAAUAAGCGCUUGGACUGCCAUACCAACGAGCCUGGCUCUUUGCCUUUGCUUUCAAAGUUGCAUGUUUGGUACCCUGUAGACCUGUGUUUGAAUAUGGGUAGGGUGACCGCUCUCGCCUUUGGCCGCAUAUGGUGUCAGGAGUGGGAUGGCUUGCUGUGAGGUCAUCUGAGCUGUGCCCAGUGUCCGAACCGCAUGAGAGACCCCCAUGGGUAGCAUUGAUGAUGGGAUGUGUAUAGUGUACUUUUCAGUAAUACUGAUCAUAUGUCAUCAUUUUACUGAUUUUAUUUUAUUUGAAGGUGUUUUGGUCAAGUUGUGAUACUUGCUGCUAUACCUUCUAAUGUACAAGAAUUUAUUUUUGUAAUGUACACAAAAUUAAAGUUUUUUAGUUGUC
This is a long non-coding RNA of Micropterus salmoides (largemouth bass), 915 nucleotides long. RefSeq lists it as uncharacterized. The record is from RefSeq and is a predicted model, not a curated record. NCBI's taxonomy places the organism in Eukaryota, Metazoa, Chordata, Actinopteri, Centrarchiformes, Centrarchidae. The transcript is spliced from 4 exons.